Molecule: long non-coding RNA, 2733 nt
Filed under: Sinocyclocheilus grahami
Lineage: Eukaryota; Metazoa; Chordata; Actinopteri; Cypriniformes; Cyprinidae
Description: lncRNA (ENSSGRG00000026190.1)
Source: RNAcentral
AAACAGUUGGUUGCCAUUGACUUCCAUAGUAUUUUUUUUUCCUACUAUGGAAUUCAAUGGCAACCACCAACUGUUUGAUUACCAGCAAUCUUCAAAAUAUCUUCUUUUGUGUUCAACAUAAGAAAGCAACUCAUACAGGUUUGGAACGGCAUGAGGGUGAGUAAAGGAUGACAGAAUUUUCAUUUUUGGGUGAACUAUCCCUUUAAAGGAGCUUCUCAAAAGUGCUUAACAGUGUUAUACAUGUCAAAUUAAAACAGGAAUACAGAAUAAACAAGAGAGCACAGGAAGAUAAAACAAACAAGAGACCGCAAUAUGAUUUUAGAUGAGUUGCCAAGAGACUGUGCUUCCCGAAUUUCAACUUCGAUUUCAGCUGUUGACCCACCGAUUGUCUAUUAUUCCUUUAAUAUCACUAAAGGUCUUCUUCUUGGUUCUCCUUCCAGCAUGGGCCCAGGCAGUCGCCGCUCUGAUGAUCAUAGGCCUCAUCAUCCUCAUCAUCGCCUUCAUCAUCUCAUUUGUGGCUCUCUGCUGUAGCCUCAAAAUCACUCUGCUGCCUUUAAUCGGAGGCUUCCUUAUUUUGGCUGUUUCAUUAUGAAACAUAAGCUAGCCUGAUCUGAUAACUCAGCGUGCUCCCUGUGUGAACUAUAUGCCUGUAUCAGCAGUACUCCUUCAGUUUGAGGUGGAGUUUAUGACGGCGCUGUUGCUGGAAGCGUCAGACGCAGCCCUGUGUGAAAUUUCCCUACACACCCAAACAGGGCUUGGCCUUCGCUGGCAUGUCUGUGCAACACUCGCAGAUUCGCCCGGCUCGCCCACAGAGCUUUAAGCUACUGAUUAAACAUUUUUAUGGACCAACACAAGUCUGUAUUAGGUGCUGUUCAUAAAACACUUGUUGUUGGACACCACAGGAAUACUUAGCCAUCUAUUUUUCUUGAUUUUUCAGAGCACCUUUUUGUUGGCCAAAAACAUAUUUCAUCCACACAAAAUGUGUGAAUGUCAUUGCAUAAGACAAGAAAAUAUAUCAAAGCGCAUGGCUACAUUGUUUUCAAAUGCCUCAAGGAGGACAUUUAAUAAAAAAUAGGAUUGUUUGCUUUGAAAUCAGAGUUACCCUGUUGAAAAAAACAGCAUAUGCUGGUUAGGUAUGUUUUGACGCUGAGAUGCUGGUUUAAGGUGGUCCUUUGCUUGUUUAUGCUGGUCCUUUGCCAGCACAUGACCAGCAUAAACCAGCAAAAGGACCAGCAUAAACCAGCAAAGGACCAGCAUAAACCAGCAGAAGGACAGAAGGACCAGCUUAAACCAGCAAAGGACCAUCUUAAACCAGCAGAAGGACCAGUUUAAACCAGCAGAAGGACCAUCUUAAACCAGCAGAAGGACCAGCUUAAACCAGCAGUAAAAGUCAGUGCUCGCCGAUCUCCAAAAGCAUCGUCAUCUUCCCAAACCAAACACAGCACCAUACCGGCUUUGAUGAGGACUGUCCGUGCCCUUUUAUCUAACUUUUGGGACUGAUGCAAUUAACUUUUAAUAAUUUUUUUAUUAAUAAUAAUCAUUCACAAACAGACUGGGCUUUGAUGUUUUUGUUUAUGUCACUCAGCACAGAUUGAACUCCACAAAGCAUUAUUCCAAAUCUCCAUAUUAGACCAUUUACAUUACAGUGCCCUUCACAUAUUACAUGCAAAUAUAAUUAAUUCCAGUAAGUAAUCACAUUAAUACAGCUCAUGUAGUUUGCUUAAGAAUUUACACUGUAACAUGAACACUGCGAUUUAAAGUGUGACUGAGUUUGGUUAUUUCUAUAUUUCUUGAACAUCUCUACAUAUAUCAGCAUUAAGAAAAUAUUUUUAUGACGUAAGUGUAUUUUUACAUUAAUGUGUCAUUCCAUGUCAGCCUGUUCUUGUUUCUCACAGUAGCGGCUGCGCAUGCUUGAUAGCACACUUCCCUAAAGUGCUCUUACUGGCAGCGAGGAGCUUUGUGUUUGGCUGGCCAAAGUGAACUAAGAGGGUUUUUUUCCUAAUCGUGAGCUUGGAUUUAUAGUAAAAUUGGUGAGCAAGUGGAUACAAAUACCAAACACAGCAACCUGAUUUUCAUGAUAUUGAAAAAUCUUGAUGCAUUCAUGCCUUGAUCAUUUAAUUUCAAUUAGUCAGUUUGAUGUGUGUGUGGGAAAAAUGUAUAAAAGUACUUGGCUUGUAAACUUUGCAAAAUUGUAGUGUGUUUUUUUUUUAUAGUAUUUUACUAGAUUAUAUUGUUUUGUUUUGUUUUCAUUUCGCCAUUCUUUUGUGAUAUGAAUACCAAUCUUCAAUAAAAGGGAGCCUUGCUGUUAAGACACCAAUCAAAACAGUUUUUUUGUUUUCUUUUUUGUGAUCUUGCUGCUCUAUUAAUUUAAUCCCACCGGUCACAAUAGUGACCGUAAAAAGGUUGUCAUUUAUAAAGCUCUAAAAUCCUUUCUGACUGAUUUUUUUAGUGCACUUCCUGCAAAUAUGAAAAAUAAACGGUCUCAAUCAAUUAUGUGCAGUUUCACGUGAUUAGUGCAAAUUGUCACAUGACCAGAGCAGUUUACUUCAUGUUUGCACCUUGAGAAGAUGAUGGCUGCAUCAAAGCUCCAAAGUAUGUUAACAUGAAGAUUGUUUUACACAUUAGCAGAAUAAAUACAUGGUGUCUAGUAUUAAUAUAUGAAUUCGCAUAUAUUCAGUUUUGUUGAGUGUGGUCAUAGAAUGAGUAAACAUCUUGAUGGUCACAAUAGUGGGA